CAGCAGCCGCGGUAAUACCGGCGGCCCGAGUGGCGGCCACUAUUAUUGGGCCUAAAGCGUCCGUAGCCGGGCUGGUAAGUCCUCCGGGAAAUCUGGUCGCUUAACGAUCAGACUUCCGGAGGAUACUGCUGGCCUAGGGACCGGGAGAGGCCGAGGGGAUUCCCGGGGUAGGGGUGAAAUCCUGUAAUCCCGGGAGGACCACCUGGGGCGAAGGCGCUCGGCUGGAACGGGUCCGACGGUGAGGGACGAAGGCCAGGGGAGCGAACCGGAUUAGAUACCCGGGUAGUCCUGGCUGUAAACGAUGCGGACUAGGUGUCGGGCAAGCUAAGGGCUUGUCCGGUGCCGCAGGGAAGCCGUUAAGUCCGCCGCCUGGGGAGUACGGCCGCAAGGCUGAAACUUAAAGGAAUUGGCGGG
This 414-nucleotide ribosomal RNA is filed under the name uncultured microorganism. RNAcentral's name for it is "bacterial SSU rRNA". It matches the Rfam family "Archaeal small subunit ribosomal RNA", at positions 459 to 872 of the family's 1478-position model. The record is from RNAcentral.